RNAcentral lists this ribosomal RNA (492 nucleotides) under uncultured bacterium. Its description in RNAcentral is "bacterial SSU rRNA". It matches the Rfam family "Bacterial small subunit ribosomal RNA", at positions 28 to 520 of the family's 1533-position model. The record is from RNAcentral.
GAUGAACGCUAGCGGGAGGCCUAACACAUGCAAGCCGAGCGGUAUUUCUUCUUCGGGAGAGAGAGAGCGGCGUACGGGUGCGGAACACGUGUGCAACCUGCCUUUAUCUAGAGGAUAGCCUUUCGAAAGGAAGAUUAAUACUCUAUAAUAUAUUAAUUGGCAUCAAUUGAUAUUGAAAACUCCGGUGGAUAGAGAUGGGCACGCGCAAGAUUAGCUAGUUGGUGAGGUAACGGCUCACCAAGGCAAUGAUCUUUAGGGGGCCUGAGAGGGUGAUCCCCCACACUGGUACUGAGACACGGACCAGACUCCUACGGGAGGCAGCAGUGAGGAAUAUUGGUCAAUGGGUGCAAGCCUGAACCAGCCAUCCCGCGUGAAGGAUUAAGGUCCUAUGGAUUGUAAACUUCUUUUGUAUAGGGAUAAACCUACCCUCGUGAGGGUAGCUGAAGGUACUAUACGAAUAAGCACCGGCUAACUCCGUGCCAGCAGCCGCGU